Molecule: ribosomal RNA, 440 nt
Filed under: uncultured bacterium
Lineage: Bacteria
Description: partial 16S ribosomal RNA
Rfam family: Bacterial small subunit ribosomal RNA
Source: RNAcentral
CCUACGGGAGGCUGCAGUGGGGAAUAUUGCACAAUGGGGGAAACUCUGAUGCAGCGACGCCGCGUGAGUGAAGAAGUAUCUCGGUAUGUUAAGCUCUUUCAGCAGGGAAGUAAAUGACGGUACCUGUCUAAGAAGCCCCGGCUAACUACGUGCCAGCAGCCGCGGUAAUACGUAGGGGGCAAGCGUUAUCCGGAUUUACUGGGUGUAAAGGGAGCGUAGACGGCAGAGAAAGUCUGAAGUGAAAGCCCGAGGCCCAACUUCGGGACUGCUUUGGAAACUGCCCGGCUAGAGUGCUGGAGAGGUAAGCGGAAUGCGUAGUGUAGCGGUGAAAUGCGUAGAUAUUAGGAGGAACACCAGUGGCGAAGGCGGCUUACUAGACAAUUACUGACGUUGAGGCACGAAAGCGUGGGGAGCGAACAGGAUUAGAUACCCCUGUAGUC